RNAcentral lists this ribosomal RNA (627 nucleotides) under uncultured soil bacterium. Its description in RNAcentral is "bacterial SSU rRNA". It matches the Rfam family "Bacterial small subunit ribosomal RNA", at positions 36 to 660 of the family's 1533-position model. The record is from RNAcentral.
CUGGCGGAAUGCUUUACACAUGCAAGUCGAGCGGCAGCGCGGGGCAACCUGGCGGCGASCGGCGAACGGGUGAGUAAUGCAUCGGAACAUGUCCAUUCGUGGGGGAUAGCCCGGCGAAAGCCGGAUUAAUACCGCAUACGCCCUGAGGGGGAAAGUGGGGGACCGCAAGGCCUCACGCGAAUGGGUUGGCCGAUGCCCGAUUAGCUAGUUGGUGGGGUAAAGGCUUACCAAGGCGAUGAUCGGUAGCUGGUCUGAGAGGAUGAUCAGCCACACUGGGACUGAGACACGGCCCAGACUCCUACGGGAGGCAGCAGUGGGGAAUUUUGGACAAUGGGGGCAACCCUGAUCCAGCCAUUCCGCGUGAGUGAAGAAGGCCUUCGGGUUGUAAAGCUCUUUUGUCCGGAACGAAACGGAGUGCGUGAAUAUCGCGCUCUACUGACGGUACCGGAAGAAUAAGCACCGGCUAACUACGUGCCAGCAGCCGCGGUAAUACGUAGGGUGCGAGCGUUAAUCGGAAUUACUGGGCGUAAAGCGUGCGCAGGCGGUUUUGUAAGCCAGAUGUGAAAGCCCCGGGCUUAACCUGGGAAUGGCAUUUGGGACUGCAAGGCUUGAGUGCGGCAGAGGAGA